AGCCUGCAUCUUUCACCCCUGCUGGAUGCCUCCUGCCCUUGAACAUCAGACUCCAAGUUCUUCAGUUUUGGGACUGGCUCUCCUUGCUCCUCAGCUUGCAGAGAGCCUAUUGAGCCUAUUGUGGGACCUUGUGAUCGUAGGCAUUUUCUCAUAAACAAAUGGUGGCUGAGAAAGCUGAGAAGAGAUGAUGACAAUCUUUUGAGGCUGGGGAGAAAAAUGAAGUUCACAACUCAGCAAAGAGGAUGGGCUCUGGUAAGUG
Molecule: long non-coding RNA, 259 nt
Filed under: Homo sapiens (human)
Lineage: Eukaryota; Metazoa; Chordata; Mammalia; Primates; Hominidae
Description: non-protein coding lnc-BIN1-7:1
Source: RNAcentral